Molecule: long non-coding RNA, 295 nt
Filed under: Phaseolus vulgaris (common bean)
Lineage: Eukaryota; Viridiplantae; Streptophyta; Magnoliopsida; Fabales; Fabaceae
Description: long non-coding RNA (PVUL_LNC004374)
Source: RNAcentral
AUAGAAGGACGUUUGAUCCGGGAGGACGAUCAUAGUUGUCAAAGCAAGAGGCUGCUAUUGGAGAUCGACCCUGUAGAUUUGAGGAUAGAUCUUCUCAAGAAGGAGGAGAUGAUGGACACCAUCCAACCACAUUCAUCCCCCUAACAUUGAAAAAGAAGAAGCAUUGGAUUUGAGGACAAAUCCUUUUCAAGAGGGAGGGGAUGAUGGAAGAGGCCCAAGCACAAACCCACAUGCAAGCCCACCAAAGGGUAGAUUUGGGCCAACCCUAGAGUUAUGGCCAAGAGGAUCCAAGAAG